RNAcentral lists this ribosomal RNA (1401 nucleotides) under Triticum aestivum (bread wheat). Its description in RNAcentral is "partial small subunit ribosomal RNA". The record is from RNAcentral. Lineage: Eukaryota; Viridiplantae; Streptophyta; Magnoliopsida; Poales; Poaceae.
ACUCCUGACUUAUCGUAGUCCGGUUGCUGGAGUGCGACCCUCAGGUGAAGAAGUGCCAGUGCUGUAGACGGAACUUUUUAAUAGACCUCACUCAAGGUCUCUGCUUACCCCUUGACCUGAAACUCGACCUCGCCAGUACACAAGAACGUGGACCCCUAAUUUUCGGUUAUAUGUUAAACAAGUAAAAGAAAAUCUCCAUACAUUGUAACUAAGCAUGCUAAUCAACCAUGAAUUCUUGUACCUAUGGGUGUGAAAGGUCCUACCGAGUUCGACAAGACUAUCAACUAUAUCUAAAUUUACUGAUCCUCUUGGAUUCACCGAGUAAGUAUGCGGUGGUAAAGGUUAUAUAUACCCCGUCAAGAAUUUGCACGUUUACAAGUUCUUUACUCACGAGAGUAAACAGUACGGUACCUUCAUACCAAACUUCAAAGGAAUGACGUUUCUAAAAAGAAGUUGUAGAUACUCGACCGAUCGUUUUAAUAACAUUGAUGUUAAGUGUAGUCUAUAUUCCGCUGUUUAUCCCGUAGUAGAUCCAGGUAUGUAGAAUUAUAGUAAAAGUGACUGCCAACGAAACGAUAGUAUCAGUAACAAAUACUGUCUUACAUAUUUGGUGUACCUCGAACACUGUAGCCUACUUCGAUCGCGUGCCGCCGUAUGUUGUCCUCGAUAAUCUCGACCAACAAUGUGCCCGUACUACAUCACGGGUCCUACGAGAAGCCUACCGAGGGUCCUACCCUAACUUGGGUCAACUCCAGGAACCCUUUAGUCCGGGAGGACAAAGGUUCUAGUAUCCGAAAGUGUUUCUGUUCAUAUGGUUCCUACGGUACCUCUUUCUAGCGGAUUUUCUUGUUCCAGUAUUACAACAUGGCUCCCGUAUUUCAACAUAGGUCCUACCCGAACGUGGACCAACUCCAGGUAGCCUUUAUCCUGGUAGGACGAACGUUCUAGUACCUGAAGGUGUUUCUGUUCAUAUUGUUCCUACAGUUCAUCUUUCUCGUGCAUUUUUGGUUCCCUUCCCUCCUCAUUUACUCUACCACCCUAACUGAGAUUGGACAGUUAGACGACCAAAACUACCGACAUCAUACACAACAAGUCAACGUUGUAUUCUGUACCAACACGUACAAAACUAGGAACAACACCUUAGCUUUGUUGAGGAACAUAUCAAAUAAACUAAUAACGACGGUCAUAAGACGGACACUCGGUACCACAACUAAAGUUCACCUUCUUGGCGACAGGCAACAAAAGUCCCAGGUUCUUCAUACAAAAGAACAUAAAUCAAAAACAAAACUGGAACACUUUGAACGAUGGAUACCUACUUUGACACAUUAUAACUACUUUGAUACAUAUACAUGCCUACUUUGAACGAUGAUAACCAUUGUACCAACCUAUGUAUACACAAGU